This 530-nucleotide ribosomal RNA is filed under the name uncultured Desulfuromonadaceae bacterium. Its description in RNAcentral is "bacterial SSU rRNA". It matches the Rfam family "Bacterial small subunit ribosomal RNA", at positions 17 to 523 of the family's 1533-position model. The record is from RNAcentral. Lineage: Bacteria; Pseudomonadati; Thermodesulfobacteriota; Desulfuromonadia; Desulfuromonadales; Desulfuromonadaceae.
UCCUGGCUCAGAACGAACGCUGGCGGCGUGCCUAAUACAUGCAAGUCGAGCGAGAAAGUCUCUUCGGAGGCGAGUAAAGCGGCGCACGGGUGAGUAACACGUGGGCAAUCUGCCCUCGAGUCUGGGAUAACCCGGGGAAACUCGGGCUAAUACCGGAUACGGCUGUGGGGUCUUCGGGCCCUAUGGAGAAAGAUGGCCUCUUCUCGAAAGCCAUCUCUCGAGGAUGAGCCCGCGUCCUAUUAGCUAGUUGGUGAGGUAACGGCUCACCAAGGCAAAGAUGGGUAGCUGGUCUGAGAGGAUGACCAGCCACACUGGAACUGAGACACGGUCCAGACUCCUACGGGAGGCAGCAGUAGGGAAUUUUGGGCAAUGGGCGAAAGCCUGACCCAGCAACGCCGCGUGUGGGAUGAAGGCCCUCGGGUCGUAAACCACUGUCAGGAGGAAAGAAAAGCCGGCCGGAUAAUACUCGGUCGGCCUGACGGUACCUCCAAAGGAAGCACCGGCUAACUCCGUGCCAGCAGCCGCGGUAA